This 254-nucleotide ribosomal RNA is filed under the name uncultured bacterium. RNAcentral's name for it is "partial 16S ribosomal RNA". It matches the Rfam family "Bacterial small subunit ribosomal RNA", at positions 524 to 776 of the family's 1533-position model. The record is from RNAcentral.
UACGAAGGGUGCUAGCGUUGUUCGGAAUCACUGGGCGUAAAGCGUGCGUAGGCGGCUUAGUAAGUCGAUUGUGAAAUCCCGGAGCUUAACUCUGGAAUUGCAAUCGAAACUGCUUAGCUAGAGUAAGAUAGAGGACAGUGGAAUUCCUAGUGUAGGGGUGAAAUUCGUAGAUAUCGGGAGGAACACCGGUGGCGAAGGCGGCGACCUGGGGUUGACAUUGACGCUGAGGCGCGAAAGCGUGGGGAGCAAACAGG